AGGAUUUCCCUAGUAGCGGCGAGCGAAGCGGGAAGAGCUCAAAUUUAUAAUCUGGCACCUUCGGUGUCCGAGUUGUAAUCUCUAGAAAUGUUUUCCGCGUUGGACCGCACACAAGUCUGUUGGAAUACAGCGGCAUAGUGGUGAGACCCCCGUAUAUGGUGCGGACGCCCAGCGCUUUGUGAUACAUUUUCGAAGAGUCGAGUUGUUUGGGAAUGCAGCUCAAAUUGGGUGGUAAAUUCCAUCUAAAGCUAAAUAUUGGCGAGAGACCGAUAGCGAACAAGUACCGUGAGGGAAAGAUGAAAAGCACUUUGGAAAGAGAGUUAACAGUACGUGAAAUUGUUGGAAGGGAAACGCUUGAAGUCAGACUUGCUUGCCGAGCAAUCGGUUUGCAGGCCAGCAUCAGUUUUCCGGGAUGGAUAAUGGUAGAGAGAAGGUAGCAGUUUCGGCUGUGUUAUAGCUCUCUGCUGGAUACAUCUUGGGGGACUGAGGAACGCAGUGUGCCUUUGGCGGGGGUUUCGACCUCUUCACACUUAGGAUGCUGGUGGAAUGGCUUUAAACGACCCGUCUUGAAACACGGACCAAA
Molecule: ribosomal RNA, 583 nt
Filed under: Rhodotorula mucilaginosa
Lineage: Eukaryota; Fungi; Basidiomycota; Microbotryomycetes; Sporidiobolales; Sporidiobolaceae
Description: partial large subunit ribosomal RNA
Rfam family: Eukaryotic large subunit ribosomal RNA
Source: RNAcentral